This 159-nucleotide ribosomal RNA is filed under the name Hyphoderma setigerum. RNAcentral's name for it is "5.8S ribosomal RNA". It matches the Rfam family "5.8S ribosomal RNA". Rfam says of the family: 5.8S ribosomal RNA (5.8S rRNA) is a component of the large subunit of the eukaryotic ribosome. It is transcribed by RNA polymerase I as part of the 45S precursor that also contains 18S and 28S rRNA. Functionally, it is thought that 5.8S rRNA may be involved in ribosome translocation. Lineage: Eukaryota; Fungi; Basidiomycota; Agaricomycetes; Polyporales; Hyphodermataceae. The record is from RNAcentral.
GAAAUACAACUUUCAGCAACGGAUCUCUUGGCUCUCGCAUCGAUGAAGAACGCAGCGAAAUGCGAUAAGUAAUGUGAAUUGCAGAAUUCAGUGAAUCAUCGAAUCUUUGAACGCACCUUGCACUCCUUGGUAUUCCGAGGAGUAUGCCUGUUUGAGUGU